GAAGGCGACUUACUGGCCAAUAACUGACGCUGAGGCGCGAAAGCGUGGGGAGCAAACAGGAUUAGAUACCCUGGUAGUCCACGCCGUAAACGAUGAGUACUAGGUGUCGGUUGUUUCGAAACAAUCGGUGCCGGAGUAAACACAAUAAGUACUCCGCCUGGGGAGUACGGUCGCAAGACUGAAACUCAAAGGAAUUGACGGGGGCCCGCACAAGCGGUGGAGCAUGUGGUUUAAUUCGACGCAACGCGAAGAACCUUACCAAGACUUGACAUCCUCUUGAUUGGAUAUGUAAUGUAUCCUUUUCUUCGGAACAAGAGAGACAGGUGGUGCAUGGUUGUCGUCAGCUCGUGUCGUGAGAUGUUGGGUUAAGUCCCGCAACGAGCGCAACCCUUGUUGUUAGUUGCCAUCAUUAAGUUGGGCACUCUAACAAGACUGCCGGUGACAAACCGGAGGAAGGUGGGGAUGACGUCAAAUCAUCAUGCCCCUUAUGUCUUGGGCUACACACGUGCUACAAUGGUCGGUACAGAGGGCAGCAAGAGAGUGAUCUUGAGCGAAUCUCAAAAAGCCGAUCCCAGUUCGGAUUGUAGGCUGCAACUCGCCUACAUGAAGUCGGAAUCGCUAGUAAUCGCAGGUCAGCAUACUGCGGUGAAUACGUUCCCGGGCCUUGUACACACCGCCCGUCACACCACGAAAGUUGGUAACACCCGAAGUCGGUGAUCUAACCUGCAAAGGAGGAAGCCGCCCACGGUGGGAUCGAUGAUUGGGGUGAAGUCGUAACAAGGUAGCCGUAUCGGAAGG
This 798-nucleotide ribosomal RNA is filed under the name uncultured Peptococcus sp. RNAcentral describes it as "bacterial SSU rRNA". It matches the Rfam family "Bacterial small subunit ribosomal RNA", at positions 717 to 1512 of the family's 1533-position model. The record is from RNAcentral. Lineage: Bacteria; Bacillati; Bacillota; Clostridia; Eubacteriales; Peptococcaceae.